This 253-nucleotide ribosomal RNA is filed under the name uncultured bacterium. RNAcentral's name for it is "partial 16S ribosomal RNA". It matches the Rfam family "Bacterial small subunit ribosomal RNA", at positions 524 to 776 of the family's 1533-position model. The record is from RNAcentral.
UGCAUGGGGUGCAAACGUUGCUCGGAAUUAUUGGGCGUAAAGCGCGCGUAGGCGGUUACUCAAGUCGGAUGUGAAAGCCCUCGGCUUAACUGAGGAAGUGCACCCGAAACUGAGUAGCUAGAGUACUAAAGAGGGUCGCGGAAUUCCCGGUGUAGAGGUGAAAUUCGUAGAUAUCGGGAGGAACACCGGUGGCGAAGGCGGCGACCUGGGUAGAUACUGACGCUGAGGCGCGAAAGCGUGGGGAGCAAACAGG